UUCGGUGUAGACAAAUUGGUAAAGUCGCUAGGCUUUGACCCUAGAGCGUGGAGGUUCGACCCCUUCCACCGAAG
This 74-nucleotide transfer RNA is filed under the name Bacillus cereus. Its description in RNAcentral is "tRNA-Gln". It matches the Rfam family "tRNA". From Rfam's summary of the family: Transfer RNA (tRNA) molecules are approximately 80 nucleotides in length. Their secondary structure includes four short double-helical elements and three loops (D, anti-codon, and T loops). Further hydrogen bonds mediate the characteristic L-shaped molecular structure. tRNAs have two regions of fundamental functional importance: the anti-codon, which is responsible for specific mRNA codon recognition, and the 3' end, to which the tRNAs corresponding amino acid is attached (by aminoacyl-tRNA synthetases). tRNAs cope with the degeneracy of the genetic code in two manners: having more than one tRNA (with a specific anti-codon) for a particular amino acid; and 'wobble' base-pairing, i.e. permitting non-standard base-pairing at the 3rd anti-codon position. The record is from RNAcentral. Lineage: Bacteria; Bacillati; Bacillota; Bacilli; Caryophanales; Bacillaceae. RNAcentral also lists the same sequence under 5 other names.